UGGGGAAUUUUGGACAAUGGGCGAAAGCCUGAUCCAGCAAUGCCGCGUGUGUGAAGAAGGCCUUCGGGUUGUAAAGCACUUUUGUCCGGAAAGAAAUCCUUGGCUCUAAUACAGUCGGGGGAUGACGGUACCGGAAGAAUAAGCACCGGCUAACUACGUGCCAGCAGCCGCGGUAAUACGUAGGGCGCAAGCGUUAAUCGGAAUUACUGGGCGUAAAGCGUGCGCAGGCGGUUUGCUAAGACCGAUGUGAAAUCCCCGGGCUCAGCCUGGGAACUGCAUUGGUGACUGGCAGGCUAGAGUAUGGCAGAGGGGGGUAGAAUUCCACGUGUAGCAGUGAAAUGCGUAGAGAUGUGGAGGAAUACCGAUGGCGAAGGCAGCCCCCUGGGCCAAUACUGACGCUCAUGCACGAAAGCGUGGGGAGCAAACAGGAUUAGAUACCCUGGUAGUCCACGCCCUAAACGAUGUCAACUAGUUGUUGGGGAUUCAUUUCCUUAGUAACGUAGCUAACGCGUGAAGUUGACCGCCUGGGGAGUACGGUCGCAAGAUUAAAACUCAAAUGGAAUUGAC
Molecule: ribosomal RNA, 567 nt
Filed under: uncultured bacterium
Lineage: Bacteria
Description: partial 16S ribosomal RNA
Rfam family: Bacterial small subunit ribosomal RNA
Source: RNAcentral